Molecule: RNA transcript, 3126 nt
Organism: Lepus europaeus (European hare)
Lineage: Eukaryota; Metazoa; Chordata; Mammalia; Lagomorpha; Leporidae
Gene: PNISR
Gene name: PNN interacting serine and arginine rich protein
Exons: 14
Source: RefSeq, a predicted model, not a curated record
AUAUUCUUAUUCACUUCCGGAUGAGACCAGUCGGGCGCCAUCUUGUCUUGUUCGUGAAGAAGUAGAAGCAUCAAAAGGGUUGGCGAGGUAUUACAGGAACGAUAGCGACAGUGGUGUUCCGGAACCAGAGUGGGGUAUAAAUAUUCUUGCUGCUAUGCUUCCAAGCUGUAGUUUGAAUCAAUCUAAGUUUUAAACAGAAGGUGAACCUCUGAGAUAAAGAAUCAACUAUUUUAAAAGAAAGGAUGUGGGAUCAAGGAGGACAGCCUUGGCAACAGUGGCCCUUGAACCAGCAACAAUGGAUGCAGUCAUUCCAGCACCAACAGGAUCCAAGCCAGAUUGACUGGGCUGCCUUGGCUCAAGCUUGGAUUGCCCAAAGAGAAGCUUCAGGACAGCAAAGCAUGGUGGAACAACCACCAGGAAUGAUGCCAAAUGGCCAAGAUAUGUCUACAAUGGAAUCUGGUCCAAACAAUCAUGGAAAUUUUCAAGGGGAUUCAAACUUUAACAGAAUGUGGCAACCAGAAUGGGGAAUGCACCAGCAACCCCCACACCCCCCUCCAGAUCAGCCAUGGAUGCCACCAACACCAGGCCCAAUGGACAUUGUUCCUCCUUCCGAAGACAGCAACAGUCAGGACAGUGGGGAAUUUGCCCCUGACAACAGGCAUAUAUUUAACCAGAACAAUCACAACUUUGGUGGACCACCCGAUAAUUUUGCAGUGGGGCCAGUGAACCAGUUUGACUAUCAGCAUGGGGCUGCUUUUGGUCCACCGCAAGGUGGAUUUCAUCCUCCCUAUUGGCAACCAGGACCUCCAGGACCUCCAGCACCUCCCCAGAAUCGAAGAGAAAGACCGUCAUCAUUCAGGGAUCGGCAGCGUUCACCUAUUGCACUUCCUGUGAAACAGGAGCCUCCACAAAUUGAUGCAGUAAAACGCAGAACUCUUCCAGCUUGGAUUCGGGAAGGUCUUGAAAAAAUGGAACGUGAAAAGCAGAAGAAGUUGGAGAAAGAAAGAAUGGAACAGCAACGUUCACAACUGUCCAAAAAAGAAAAGAAGACCACAGAAGACGCUGAAGGAGGAGAUGGGCCUCGUUUACCUCAGAGAAGUAAAUUUGAUAGUGAUGAGGAAGAUGAAGAUGCUGAAAACCUUGAAGCUACAAGCAGUGGAAAAGUCACAAGAAGUCCAUCUCCAAUUCCUCAAGAAGAGCAGAGUGAACCAGAGAUGACUGAAGAAGAGAAAGAAUAUCAAAUGAUGUUAUUGACAAAAAUGCUUCUGACUGAAAUUCUAUUGGAUGUCACAGAUGAAGAAAUUUAUUACAUAGCCAAAGAUGCACACCGAAAAGCAACGAAAGCUCCUGCAAAACAGCUGGCACAGUCCAGUGCACUGGCUUCCCUCACUGGACUCGGUGGACUGGGUGGUUAUGGAUCAGGAGACAGUGAAGAUGAGAGAAGCGACAGAGGCUCUGAGUCAUCUGACACUGAUGAUGAAGAAUUACGGCACCGAAUCCGGCAAAAACAGGAAGCUUUUUGGAGAAAAGAAAAAGAACAACAGCUGUUACAUGACAAACAGAUGGAAGAAGAAAAGCAACAAACAGAAAGAGUUACAAAAGAGAUGAAUGAAUUUAUCCACAAAGAGCAAAAUAGUUUAUCACUACUAGAAGCAAGAGAAGCAGAUGGUGAUGUGGUUAAUGAAAAGAAAAGAACUCCAAAUGAGACUACAUCAGUUUUAGAACCAAAAAAAGAGCAUAAAGAAAAAGAAAAACAGGGAAGAAGUAGAUCAGGAAGUUCUAGUAGUGGUAGUUCAAGUAGCAAUAGCAGAACUAGUAGUACUAGUAGUACUAUGUCUAGCUCUUCAUACAGUUCUAGCUCAGGUAGUAGUCGGACUUCUUCUAGGUCUUCUUCUCCUAAAAGGAAAAAGAGACAUAGUAGGAGUAGAUCUCCAGCAAUGAAAGCUAGACGUAGCAGGAGUAGAAGCUACUCUCACAGAAUUAAAAUAGAGAGCAAUAGGGCUAGGGUAAAGAUUAGAGAUAGGAGGAGAUCUCAUAGAAAUAGCAUGGAAAGAGAAAGACGACGCAAUCGGAGUCCUUCCCGAGAGAGACGUAGAAGUAGAAGUCGCUCAAGGGAUAGACGAACCAAUCGUUCCAGUCGCAGUAGGAGUCGAGAUAGGCGUAAAACUGAUGAUCAACGUGGAAAUCUUAGUGGAAGCAGUCAGAAGCACAAAGGUGAGGCUAAAGAACAAGAGAGGAAAAAGGAGAGGAGUCGAAGUGUAGAUAAAGACAGAAAAAAGAAAGACAAAGAAAGGGAGCGUGAACAGGAUAAAAGAAAAGAGAAACAAAAAAGGGAAGAAAAAGAUUUUAAGUUCAGUAGUCAGGAUGAUAGGUUAAAAAGGAAACGAGAAAGUGAAAGAACAUUCUCCAGGAGUGGUUCUAUAUCUGUUAAAAUCAUAAGACAUGAUUCUAGACAGGAUAGUAAGAAAAGUACCACCAAAGAUAGUAAAAAACAUUCAGGCUCUGAGUCUAGUGGAAGGAGCAGUUCUGAAUCUCCAGGAAGUAGCAAAGAAAAGAAGGCUAAGAAGCCUAAACAUAGUCGAUCGCGAUCCAUGGAGAAAUCUCAAAGGUCUGGUAAGAAGGCAAGCCGCAAACACAAGUCUAAGUCCCGAUCAAGAUCAACCACCCCUCCCCGUCGUAAGCGCUGAGGAAUGAUGUGGCAAGAUUGCCAUGAUGUUGUUUUAAAAAUUCCAUGAGUUUUAAGGGCUUGUCUCAUUAUAGAGGCACAUUGUGGCUGUAACUUUUGCUUUGAUUGGGAGAGAUGUUCUUGUAUCUAAAGAGAGGAGCUCUGAAGAGGACAUAGCAACUGAAAAGUCUGCAGUCAUUCUUGGGAGGUCAAUAUUUUAGCUAAGGAGCCAUGAGUGAAACACUAUUUCUGAGUAGUAAAGUUCACUAAUUCGAAGAACUCUGCACCGAUUUGAUCCUGCCUGUUGAAAAUGUAGAAUUAUUUUUUUGCCUUUUAAUGUUGGAAACAUCCUUGUUCUUCCUGAAGGAAAGGAUUUUUAUAUAUUUAGAUACAAGGUUACUGAUCAAUAUUCAAGCGCUAAAUGAAGUUUGCAUAGAGUGUUAACAGUUGCAUACUAUAAU